This is a long non-coding RNA of Siniperca chuatsi (mandarin fish), 453 nucleotides long. RefSeq lists it as uncharacterized. The transcript is spliced from 2 exons. The record is from RefSeq and is a predicted model, not a curated record. NCBI's taxonomy places the organism in Eukaryota, Metazoa, Chordata, Actinopteri, Centrarchiformes, Sinipercidae.
CAGAGGCUUAUCCAGGUGAUCAGCGCGAUGCGGUUGGAAAUCAGAAAGCUGGAGCUGGAGAACAUGGGCCUGAGGAGGAGAGCUGGAGCUAAUCUGCGAAAGAAUGCAACAGUUCCCACCAUGACAGCAGAAUGCAGAGAGAGCGUCGUCAUGACAGUGAGAAGAUAUUCAAUCUUCCAGCCGUUGGUCAAUCAUCGGAACUGGCAGUUGGACAAUGCUAAAAGUGAGCGGUGGACUGGAAAACAGCAAAGAUAAAAAUUUGCAUGGUAUCAUACUGUAACUUAUCUGACACUGACACAAAGUGGUCGUGUAUAGUUGUGCUUUCUGUUAAAAAAAAAAGUACCAGCACCUGGGAUUGUGGAGUGAACUAAAGGCGAGGUUAGCCUAGCGUUAACUCUAUUUGGCAUCUGGAGCAAAAUUGUGUAUCAGCACCAAAUAAAACAUUUUUUCUGC